Molecule: microRNA, 23 nt
Filed under: Pan troglodytes (chimpanzee)
Lineage: Eukaryota; Metazoa; Chordata; Mammalia; Primates; Hominidae
Also listed under: 3 other names
Description: ptr-miR-371
Gene: ptr-miR-371
Source: miRBase by way of RNAcentral
AAGUGCCGCCAUCUUUUGAGUGU